This 500-nucleotide ribosomal RNA is filed under the name uncultured bacterium. Its description in RNAcentral is "partial 16S ribosomal RNA". It matches the Rfam family "Bacterial small subunit ribosomal RNA", at positions 30 to 523 of the family's 1533-position model. The record is from RNAcentral.
AUUGAACGCUGGCGGCAUGCCUUACACAUGCAAGUCGAACGGCAGCACGGGAGCAAUCCUGGUGGCGAGUGGCGAACGGGUGAGUAAAGUAUCGGAACGUGCCCAGUCGUGGGGGAUAACGUAGCGAAAGUUACGCUAAUACCGCAUACGAUCUAUGGAUGAAAGCGGGGGAUCGCAAGACCUCGCGCGAUUGGAGCGGCCGAUAUCAGAUUAGGUAGUUGGUGGGGUAAAGGCUCACCAAGCCGACGAUCUGUAGCGGGUCUGAGAGGACGACCAGCCAAACUGGGACUGAGACACGGCCCAGACACCUACGGGAGGCAGCAGUGGGGAAUUUUGGACAAUGGGCGAAAGCCUGAUCCAGCCAUGCCGCGUGCAGGAUGAAGGCCUUCGGGUUGUAAACUGCUUUUGUACGGAACGAAAAGGUUUGGCCUAAUAAGCUGAGCUCAUGACGGUACCGUAAGAAUAAGCACCGGCUAACUACGUGCCAGCAGCCGCCGUAA